CAAGGCCAAAUAGGGGUUCACAUGGUACGGCCCGUACUGAACCCGGGUAGGCUGCUUGAGCCAGUGAGCGAUUGCUGGC
This 79-nucleotide non-coding RNA is filed under the name Yersinia enterocolitica (type O:5) str. YE53/03. Lineage: Bacteria; Pseudomonadati; Pseudomonadota; Gammaproteobacteria; Enterobacterales; Yersiniaceae. RNAcentral also lists the same sequence under 1 other name. The record is from RNAcentral.